CCUAAGGUAGCGAAAUUCCUUGUCGGGUAAGUUCCGACCUGCACGAAUGGCGUAAUGAUGGCCAGGCUGUCUCCACCCGAGACUCAGUGAAAUUGAACUCGCUGUGAAGAUGCAGUGUACCCGCGGCAAGACGGAAAGACCCCGUGAACCUUUACUAUAGCUUGACACUGAACAUUGAGCCUUGAUGUGUAGGAUAGGUGGGAGGCUUUGAAGUGUGGACGCCAGUCUGCAUGGAGCCGACCUUGAAAUACCACCCUUUAAUGUUUGAUGUUCUAACGUUGACCCGUGAUCCGGGUUGCGGACAGUGUCUGGUGGGUAGUUUGACUGGGGCGGUCUCCUCCUAAAGAGUAACGGAGGAGCACGAAGGUUGGCUAAUCCUGGUCGGACAUCAGGAGGUUAGUGCAAUGGCAUAAGCUAGCUUGACUGCGAGCGUGACGGCGCGAGCAGGUGCGAAAGCAGGUCAUAGUGAUCCGGUGGUUCUGAAUGGAAGGGCCAUCGCUCAACGGAUAAAAGGUACUCCGGGGAUAACAGGCUGAUACCGCCCAAGAGUUCAUAUCGACGGCGGUGUUUGGCACCUCGAUGUCGGCUCAUCACAUCCUGGGGCUGAAGUAGGUCCCAAGGGUAUGGCUGUUCGCCAUUUAAAGUGGUACGCGAGCUGGGUUUAGAACGUCGUGAGACAGUUCGGUCCCUAUCUGCCGUGGGCGCUGGAGAAUUGAGGGGGGCUGCUCCUAGUACGAGAGGACCGGAGUGGACGCAUCACUGGUGUUCGGGUUGUCAUGCCAAUGGCACUGCCCGGUAGCUAAAUGCGGAAGAGAUAAGUGCUGAAAGCAUCUAAGCACGAAACUUGCCCCGAGAUGAGUUCUCCCUGAGACUUUAAGUCUCCUGAAGGAACGUUGAAGACGACGACGUUGAUAGGCCGGGUGUGUAAGCGCAGCGAUGCGUUGAGCUAACCGGUACUAAUGAACCGUGAGGCUUAACCUU
Molecule: ribosomal RNA, 981 nt
Filed under: human gut metagenome
Description: bacterial LSU rRNA
Rfam family: Bacterial large subunit ribosomal RNA
Source: RNAcentral